Molecule: long non-coding RNA, 233 nt
Filed under: Solanum tuberosum (potato)
Lineage: Eukaryota; Viridiplantae; Streptophyta; Magnoliopsida; Solanales; Solanaceae
Description: long non-coding RNA (STUB_LNC010495)
Source: RNAcentral
AUUGCUUCGAGUGGCAAGAGAGCUAUUGAUUUGUUAUGCUUAUUUAGUUUCUUUUAAAAACUCUUAGAGUUGCUCCAUUUGUCAUUCUUUUGAUUGAGUCAAUAUUAGUCCUUCGAAUUGUAGUCAAGUGACUAGUUUAGAACUUUUUUUCCGAAAUUUGGAGAUGAAUUGGUUUUAUUGCGCGACAAUUUAAUCAUUGAUGGAUAUUAAAUGGUGGUUUAUAGUUGCUAUUA